This 253-nucleotide ribosomal RNA is filed under the name uncultured bacterium. RNAcentral describes it as "partial 16S ribosomal RNA". It matches the Rfam family "Bacterial small subunit ribosomal RNA", at positions 524 to 776 of the family's 1533-position model. The record is from RNAcentral.
UACGUAGGGGGCAAGCGUUGUCCGGAAUCAUUGGGCGUAAAGCGCGUGUAGGCGGCUCGAAAAGUCUGGUGUGAAAUCCUGCGGCUCAACCGCAGACGGUCGUGGGAAACUGGAAGGCUAGAGUGCGGGAGAGGAGAGUGGAAUUCCCGGUGUAGCGGUGAAAUGCGCAGAUAUCGGGAAGAACACCCGUGGCGAAGGCGGCUCUCUGGAACGCAACUGACGCUGAGACGCGAAAGCGUGGGGAGCAAACAGG